This 586-nucleotide long non-coding RNA is filed under the name Equus caballus (horse). Its description in RNAcentral is "lncRNA (ENSECAG00000045450.1)". The record is from RNAcentral. Lineage: Eukaryota; Metazoa; Chordata; Mammalia; Perissodactyla; Equidae.
GUGAGACAAUAGAAAUCAGAGUUCCAGCUCUUAUGUCCUAGCUCCUAUGAUUGAACAUUGUCUCCAUGGAUUGAAUAAACAAUGAUACAAGGAGAAUUGUAAAGCAUGUUUUACCCUGAGAAAUGAACUAAGUUCCCGAAAGCCUUUCCAUCAAGGAAUAUACCUAUAAUAGGAAAAGUUCAAAUAAAUUAAAGAGAUAGAAACAUUAACAGUUUUCUUUCUGUGAGCAUCACUCACCGGAAGUGGCCCAAAUGAGACCCACCCAGCUCCUCCCCUCUGUGAUCUGAAGUCAUCUUGAACCAAAAUGGGGAGUACUAAUGUCCACACCCUGGGUGAAGAGGCAAAUGAAAUAAUUCAACCAGGCUACCACUGCAGGUGUGUGAUAUUAGACGGAGCGUGUCCAAUGGGGAGCAGCACAGAGAGUGUGAACAAAUCUUCACUGAGAGCAGAACGGUGCAGCGGAAGCGAGCUGGGCUCCCAACUCAGAAGAAGAAGACUCUUUCUGCGUGUUUACAAGUGCUCAAUUCUCUACAUAAAAUCUAGCUGUUUCCACUUUUUGCCUACUACGAAAAAUGCUACUUUGAUG